UCGGGAAUUUUGGGCAAUGGGCGAAAGCCUGACCCAGCAACGCCGCGUGAAGGAUGAAGUAUUUCGGUAUGUAAACUUCGUAAGAAUAGGAAGAAUAAAUGACGGUACUAUUUGUAAGGUCCGGCUAACUACGUGCCAGCAGCCGCGGUAAUACGUAGGGACCAAGCGUUGUUCGGAUUUACUGGGCGUAAAGGGCGCGUAGGCGGCAUGACAAGUCACUUGUGAAAUCUCCGGGCUUAACUCGGAACGGUCAGAUGAUACUGCUUUGCUAGAGUGCAGAAGGGGCAAUCGGAAUUCUUGGUGUAGCGGUGAAAUGCGUAGAUAUCAAGAGGAACACCUGAGGCGAAGGCGGGUUGCUAGGCUGAUACUGACGCUGAGGCGCGAAAGCUAGGGUAGCAAACGGGAUUAGAUACCCAAGUAGUCCCUGAGCGGGCUGGCAAGGCGCAU
Molecule: ribosomal RNA, 447 nt
Filed under: uncultured bacterium
Lineage: Bacteria
Description: bacterial SSU rRNA
Rfam family: Bacterial small subunit ribosomal RNA
Source: RNAcentral